CUCUUCCAGGGGCUGAGUCUGGGCCCCAGGACCCGAGGGCAGGCAGGAAGGAGAAGAUGGGCUCUCCUGGACCCUGGACUCACAGCGAGGCCCCAGUGGGCAGUUCCAGGCCCUGUUCCCUGUGGGCCCUGUGACCGCUGGCCACAGGUGGAUGUUCAGAUGCUACGGCUAUGAGCAGGAACAAUCCCCAGGUGUGGUCGGAGCCCAGUGACACCCUGGAGCUCCUGGUCUCAGCGUCACACACUAGAUCCAGCCACCUCUGAAGAAGCCCCACCUAUGACUGCGUGAGGCUUUGGGGGGACAGCUAGACACAAGCAGAACACCAGGUGUGAGAGACAGGGGAGACCCCCAGGGCAGGACGGGGGGGCAGGGCUGUGGCAGGAAGCAGCCCCUCAGCCCAGGUCCUCCUCCCCCAGGGCUGUCCAGGAAGCCCAUGGGGGUCAUCUGGAGGGGACUCAGCCCUAGAAGGGCAGAAAGCCAAUGGGGUCCUCCCAAGCAUGGUCAUUUUCAUUGCCAUCAUUGGAAUCCUGAAGGUUCCAGGUGGGGAGUGGGAGAGUCAUGUUGAGGCCACAGGGCAGAGGAGAGUAAGC
This 590-nucleotide long non-coding RNA is filed under the name Heterocephalus glaber (naked mole-rat). RNAcentral describes it as "lncRNA (ENSHGLG00000042813.1)". The record is from RNAcentral. Lineage: Eukaryota; Metazoa; Chordata; Mammalia; Rodentia; Bathyergidae.